RNAcentral lists this ribosomal RNA (253 nucleotides) under uncultured bacterium. RNAcentral's name for it is "partial 16S ribosomal RNA". It matches the Rfam family "Bacterial small subunit ribosomal RNA", at positions 524 to 776 of the family's 1533-position model. The record is from RNAcentral.
GACGUAGGGCGCGAGCGUUGUCCGGAUUUAUUGGGCGUAAAGAGCUCGUAGGCGGCUUGUCGCGUCGUCCGUGAAAACCUGGGGCUCAACCCCAGGCUUGCGGUCGAUACGGGCAGGCUCGAGUUCGGUAGGGGAGACUGGAAUUCCUGGUGUAGCGGUGAAAUGCGCAGAUAUCAGGAGGAACACCCGUAGCGAAGGCGGCACUCUGGGCCGAUACUGACACUGAGGAGCGAAAGCGUGGGGAGCGAACAGG